This 484-nucleotide ribosomal RNA is filed under the name uncultured bacterium. RNAcentral describes it as "partial 16S ribosomal RNA". It matches the Rfam family "Bacterial small subunit ribosomal RNA", at positions 30 to 507 of the family's 1533-position model. The record is from RNAcentral.
AUUGAACGCUGGCGGCAGGCCUAACACAUGCAAGUCGCGCGGAUGAAGGGAGCUUGCUCCUGGAUUCAGCGGCGGACGGGUGAGUAAUGCCUAGGAAUCUGCCUGGUAGUGGGGGAUAACGUCCGGCAACGGGCGCUAUUACCGCAUACGUCCUGAGCGAGUUAGUGGGUGAUCUUCGGACCUCACUCUAUCAUAUGAUCCUAGGUCGGAUUAGCUAGUUGGUGGGGUAAAGGCCUACCAAGGCGACGAUCCGUAACUGGUCUGAGAGGAUGAUCAGUCACACUGGAACUGAGACACGGUCCAGAAUCCUACGGGAGGCAGCAGUGGGGAAUAUUGGACAAGGGGCGAAAGCAUGAACCAGAAAUGCCGCGUGUGUGAAGAAGGUCUUCGGAUUGUAAAGCACUGUAAGGUGGGAGGAAGGGCAGUAAGUUAAUACCUAGCUGUUGUGACGUUACCAACAGAAUAAGCACCGGCUAACUACGUG